AUUGAACGCUGGCGGCAUGCCUUACACAUGCAAGUCGAGCGGCAGCACGGACUUCGGCCUGGUGGCGAGUGGCGAACGGGUGAGUAAUAUAUCGGAACAUACCUUGUAGUGGGGGAUAACUAUCCGAAAGGAUAGCUAAUACCACAUACGCUCUAUGGAGGAAAGCGGGGGAUCGUAAGACCUCGUGCUAUAAGAGUGGCCGAUAUCUGAUUAGCUAGUUGGUGAGGUAAAGGCUCACCAAGGCGACGAUCAGUAGCUGGUCUGAGAGGACGACCAGCCACACUGGAACUGAGACACGGUCCAGACUCCUACGGGAGGCAGCAGUGGGGAAUUUUGGACAGUGGGGGCAACCCUGAUCCAGCAAUGCCGCGUGAGUGAAGAAGGCCUUCGGGUUGUAAAGCUCUUUUGUCAGGGAAGAAACGGUUGUGGCUAAUAUCCAUGGCUAAUGACGGUACCUGAAGAAUAAGCACCGGCUAACUACGUGCCAGCAGCCGCAGUAA
This 500-nucleotide ribosomal RNA is filed under the name uncultured bacterium. Its description in RNAcentral is "partial 16S ribosomal RNA". It matches the Rfam family "Bacterial small subunit ribosomal RNA", at positions 30 to 523 of the family's 1533-position model. The record is from RNAcentral.